GAUGAACGCUGGCGGCGUGCCUAAUACAUGCAAGUCGAGCGAACAGACGAGGAGCUUGCUCCUCUGACGUUAGCGGCGGACGGGUGAGUAACACGUGGAUAACCUACCUAUAAGACUGGGAUAACUUCGGGAAACCGGAGCUAAUACCGGAUAAUAUAUUGAACCGCAUGGUUCAAUAGUGAAAGACGGUUUUGCUGUCACUUAUAGAUGGAUCCGCGCCGCAUUAGCUAGUUGGUAAGGUAACGGCUUGCCAAGGCGACGAUGCGUAGCCGACCUGAGAGGGCGAUCGGCCACACUGGAACUGAGACACGGUCCAGACUCCUACGGGAGGCAGCAGUAGGGAAUCUUCCGCAAUGGGCGAAAGCCUGACGGAGCAACGCCGCGUGAGUGAUGAAGGUCUUCGGAUCGUAAAACUCUGUUAUUAGGGAAGAACAAAUGUGUAAGUAACUAUGCACGUCUUGACGGUACCUAAUCAGAAAGCCACGGCUAACUACGUG
Molecule: ribosomal RNA, 497 nt
Filed under: uncultured bacterium
Lineage: Bacteria
Description: partial 16S ribosomal RNA
Rfam family: Bacterial small subunit ribosomal RNA
Source: RNAcentral